CAUAGACCAACUCAAGGUACACCUGUUUAUUGCAUAGACAAUCUCAAGGUACACCUGCUUAUUGCAUAGACAAACUCAAGGUACACCUGUGUAUUGCAUAGACCAACUCAAGGUACACCUGUGUAUUGCAUAGACCAACUCAAGGAACACCUGUUUAUUGCAUAGACCAACUCAAAGUACACCUGUGUAUUUCAAACUCAAGGUACACCUGUUUAUUGCAUAGACCAACUCAAGGUACACCUGUUUAUUGCAUAGACCAACUCAAGGUACACCUGUUUAUUGCAUAGACCAACUCAAGGUACACCUGUUUAUUGCAUAGACCAACUCAAGGUACACCUGUUUAUUGCAUAGACCAACUCAAGGUACACCUGUUUAUUGCAUAGACCAACUCAAGGUACACCUGUUUAUUGCAUAGACCAACUCAAGGUACACCUGUUUAUUGCAUAGACCAACUCAAGGUACACCUGUUUAUUGCAUAGACCAACUCAAGGUACACCUGUUUAUUGUAUAGACCAACUCAAGGUACACCCUGUUUAUUGCAUAGACCAACUCAAGGUACACCUGUGUAUUGCAUAGAUCAACUCAAGGUACACCUGUGUAUUGCAUAGACAAACUCAAGAUACACCUGUGUAUUGCAUAGACCAACUCAAGGUACACCUGCUUAUUUACAUCUGCCAACCUCGACUUUUUCUGUAAUUAGCUUAAACCUGACUCACUCAAGGUACCACUGCUUAUUGACGUCUGCCAACCUUGACCGGUCUUGUCCUGUAAUUAUCUAGAAGCUGACAUACUCAUUGUAUGCCUGUUCAUAGCCAGAGCAUUGUGCUCCCUGUCUGGACUCAAGCACAGACCAGCUUGAUAUCACGGCGAGCGCUAUCCCAGUUGAGCUAUCCAGGACGGCACACAAGCUUCCUCCAUCAGUGACCAUGUUCAGGCCUUGACACGGUCAUCUUCCUAUCAAGUGUUGUCUUGUUUUGUCAGCAUCUUUCUGAUACUUUUUACUGACAAUAUAUAACUCACUUGAUUAUUUCUCCAAGCAACCUAUAGUUAUAUAUUUUAGCUGCCAAACAUAAGUAUUGUGAAUGAUAAAUAAAUAACAGUUUGUUCGUUUGGUAAAAGAAAACAAAUAUUGAUUUUCUUGAGGUUGACCCUGCGUUUUGGUCAACCCUCAACAAACUCUGUCAAUUUUUGGCUAAAGCCCUAGUUGUCAGUGUUGGCUUCGGGAUGACAAAUGCACUGUCACCCUCAAGGAAGUCAAUCUUUAUAGAAAAUUUCAUUAAUUACUUAAACACAUAUUAUAAUAAUUUGCUAUGAUCAGCUGAGGUCCGAAAUGGUUUUUUAAAGAGCCGUUUUCUGGGAAAACUGGGCUAAAUGCGUGUGUGUAAAGUGUGAUCCAAGAUUAGCUUGUACUGACAGAGACUUUAUUUGAACACAAAAUUCCAUACAAGUGCCAAGUGUUGACCUUGAUUAGACUGCACACUUAUGGCACAUUUUAAUUUUAACAGGAUUUUCCUUUAAACUGGCUUAAAUGUGAAUGGGUCAAUUUUUUUGU
Molecule: long non-coding RNA, 1552 nt
Organism: Dreissena polymorpha
Lineage: Eukaryota; Metazoa; Mollusca; Bivalvia; Myida; Dreissenidae
Exons: 4
Source: RefSeq, a predicted model, not a curated record